AAUUUCUUUUUUGUUUCAAUUUUAUUGUUUUAGAUAUUUUUCGUUUGGGAAAAAAUAUUCAAUAAUUGAUAUUUUGUUAUUUUAAGUUAAUUUAAAUUGAAUUUUUUAAUAAAGCUAUUAAUUUCAAUUGAAUUUUUUAAUAUGUUUAAAUAAAUUUUUAGUUAAUAUUAUUUUAAGAUUAUUUUUUAUUGUUGAAAAAAUUAAAAAUAAAUUGUUUUUAACAAAAAUUAAAAUUUAUAAUAUUUCAUUUUUUGGUUUUUUGUUUUAAAUUAAAAUAAUAAAUAUGGGGGAAAAAAAAAUUUUGUUAUAAAUUAUAUUAGUUUAUUUUAAUUAAAAAUAUUUUUUAUUAAAUUUGUUUUUUUUUAUUUUUUUAUAAAAAAUAUUAAUUUAAUUAUUAUUAUUGAGUUUAAUUUAGUUAUUUUUAAAAAAAUUUUGUAUAAAAUAAAUUUGAUAAUAAAUGUUUUUUAAAUUCUUUGGGGGUUUAGUUUAUGAUUUUUUGUUUCUGCUCAUUGUUAAAUAAAAGCACUUUUAGCGUGAUUAGUCAAAGGUAGCGAGGUAAUUUGUUUUUUUAUUGAAUUCUAGUAUGAAUGGAGAUUUUGUUAUCAAAUAUAUUUAAUUGAGAAAGA
Molecule: ribosomal RNA, 626 nt
Filed under: Meloidogyne enterolobii
Lineage: Eukaryota; Metazoa; Nematoda; Chromadorea; Rhabditida; Meloidogynidae
Description: partial 16S ribosomal RNA
Source: RNAcentral